Non-coding RNA from Camillea tinctor, 139 nucleotides. The record is from the annotation of a GenBank genome assembly. NCBI's taxonomy places the organism in Eukaryota, Fungi, Ascomycota, Sordariomycetes, Xylariales, Graphostromataceae.
GCCCGGUUAGCUCAAUCGGUAGAGCGUGAGACUCUUAAUCUCAAGGUUGCGGGUUAGUAGCUAAUCCCAAUCCUCCUCCAGCAAGUUUGUUGUCCCAUGCUAACACACGAGUUCACAGGUUCGACCCCCGCAUCGGGCU